GAUGAACGCUGGCGGCGUGCCUAAUACAUGCAAGUAGAACGCUGAAGGAAGGAGCUUGCUCUUUCCGGAUGAGUUGCGAACGGGUGAGUAACGCGUAGGUAACCUGCCUGGUAGCGGGGGAUAACUAUUGGAAACGAUAGCUAAUACCGCAUAACAGUAGAUGUUGCAUGAUAUCUACUUAAAAGGUGCAAUUGCACCACUACCAGAUGGACCUGCGUUGUAUUAGCUAGUUGGUGAGGUAACGGCUCACCAAGGCGACGAUACAUAGCCGACCUGAGAGGGUGAUCGGCCACACUGGGACUGAGACACGGCCCAGACUCCUACGGGAGGCAGCAGUAGGGAAUCUUCGGCAAUGGACGGAAGUCUGACCGAGCAACGCCGCGUGAGUGGAGAAGGUUUUCGGAUCGUAAAGCUCUGUUGUAAGAGAAGAACGAGUGUGAGAGUGGGAAGUUCACACUGUGACGGUAUCUUACCAGAAAGGGACGGCUAACUACGUG
Molecule: ribosomal RNA, 497 nt
Filed under: uncultured bacterium
Lineage: Bacteria
Description: partial 16S ribosomal RNA
Rfam family: Bacterial small subunit ribosomal RNA
Source: RNAcentral